CCCUUAGAUGUUCUGGGCCGCACGCGCGCUACAAUGGUCUUCGCAAACGGAUGCAUUCUCGAAGGAGAAUGCCAAUCUUGGAAUCUAUGCCUUGGUCGGGACAGUUGCUUGCAAUUUUUCGACUCGAACCAGGAAUUCCUUGUAAUCGUGAUUCAUCACAUCACGAUGAAUACGUCCCUGCCCUUUGUACACACCGCCCGUCGCUCCUACCGAUCGAAGAGUUAGGUGAAUUGUUUUGAUCGAUAAGAUUUGACUAUGGUCAACUCUCGUUGUGAAAUUCUGUGAAUCCGACUGUUUAGAGGAAGGAAAAGUCGUAACA
Molecule: ribosomal RNA, 319 nt
Filed under: uncultured eukaryote
Lineage: Eukaryota
Description: partial 18S ribosomal RNA
Rfam family: Eukaryotic small subunit ribosomal RNA
Source: RNAcentral